Molecule: ribosomal RNA, 713 nt
Filed under: Lentilactobacillus parabuchneri
Lineage: Bacteria; Bacillati; Bacillota; Bacilli; Lactobacillales; Lactobacillaceae
Description: bacterial SSU rRNA
Rfam family: Bacterial small subunit ribosomal RNA
Source: RNAcentral
UGCCAAGGUCGACGCGUCUUGGUUAUUGAUGUUAAGUGCUUGCAUUUAACUGAUUUAACAUUGAGACGAGUGGCGAACUGGUGAGUAACACGUGGGUAACCUGCCCUUGAAGUAGGGGAUAACACUUGGAAACAGGUGCUAAUACCGUAUAACAACCAAAACCACCUGGUUUUGGUUUAAAAGAUGGCUUCGGCUAUCACUUUAGGAUGGACCCGCGGCGUAUUAGCUUGUUGGUAAGGUAACGGCCUACCAAGGCAAUGAUACGUAGCCGACCUGAGAGGGUAAUCGGCCACAUUGGGACUGAGACACGGCCCAAACUCCUACGGGAGGCAGCAGUAGGGAAUCUUCCACAAUGGACGAAAGUCUGAUGGAGCAACGCCGCGUGAGUGAUGAAGGGUUUCGGCUCGUAAAACUCUGUUGUUGGAGAAGAACAGGUGUGAGAGUAACUGUUCACAUCUUGACGGUAUCCAACCAGAAAGCCACGGCUAACUACGUGCCAGCAGCCGCGGUAAUACGUAGGUGGCAAGCGUUGUCCGGAUUUAUUGGGCGUAAAGCGAGCGCAGGCGGUUUCUUAGGUCUGAUGUGAAAAGCCUUCGGCUUAACCGGAGAAGUGCAUCGGAACCAGGAGACUUGAGUGCAGAAGAGGACAGUGGAACUCCAUGUGUAAGCGGUGAAAUGCGUAGAUAUAUGGGAAGAACACCAGUGGGCGAAGC